RNAcentral lists this unclassified non-coding RNA (201 nucleotides) under uncultured Thelephora. RNAcentral describes it as "sequence contains ITS1". Lineage: Eukaryota; Fungi; Basidiomycota; Agaricomycetes; Thelephorales; Thelephoraceae. The record is from RNAcentral.
CCGAAUUGUCAACAAGAGUUGUUGCUGGUCCCUCAAACAGGGAGACAUGUGCACGCUCUGUUCACACAUCCACUCACACCCUGUGCACUCUCUGUGGUUCUACGGUCGGGGGGCCUGUCCUCCUGCUGUGGUUCUGCUUCUUUACACACACACCGUAACAAAGUCUCAUGGAAUGCAUGCCGCGUUUAACGCAAUACAAUA